This 63-nucleotide transfer RNA is filed under the name Latridiidae sp. 1 KM-2017. Its description in RNAcentral is "tRNA-Thr". It matches the Rfam family "tRNA". Rfam says of the family: Transfer RNA (tRNA) molecules are approximately 80 nucleotides in length. Their secondary structure includes four short double-helical elements and three loops (D, anti-codon, and T loops). Further hydrogen bonds mediate the characteristic L-shaped molecular structure. tRNAs have two regions of fundamental functional importance: the anti-codon, which is responsible for specific mRNA codon recognition, and the 3' end, to which the tRNAs corresponding amino acid is attached (by aminoacyl-tRNA synthetases). tRNAs cope with the degeneracy of the genetic code in two manners: having more than one tRNA (with a specific anti-codon) for a particular amino acid; and 'wobble' base-pairing, i.e. permitting non-standard base-pairing at the 3rd anti-codon position. Lineage: Eukaryota; Metazoa; Arthropoda; Insecta; Coleoptera; Latridiidae. The record is from RNAcentral.
GUUUUAAUAGUUUAAAAAAAACAUUGGUCUUGUAAACCAAAAAUAAAUUUAUUUUUUAAAACU